RNAcentral lists this transfer RNA (67 nucleotides) under Sinosolenaia oleivora. RNAcentral's name for it is "tRNA-Cys". Lineage: Eukaryota; Metazoa; Mollusca; Bivalvia; Unionida; Unionidae. The record is from RNAcentral.
UGUCUUGUAGUAUAUAAAUCAAUAUUACCGUAAACUGCAACUUUACUAAAGCAGACAGCCAAGACAU